This 253-nucleotide ribosomal RNA is filed under the name Actinoplanes derwentensis. Its description in RNAcentral is "partial 16S ribosomal RNA". It matches the Rfam family "Bacterial small subunit ribosomal RNA", at positions 524 to 776 of the family's 1533-position model. Lineage: Bacteria; Bacillati; Actinomycetota; Actinomycetes; Micromonosporales; Micromonosporaceae. The record is from RNAcentral. RNAcentral also lists the same sequence under 3 other names.
GACGUAGGGCGCGAGCGUUGUCCGGAUUUAUUGGGCGUAAAGAGCUCGUAGGCGGCUUGUCGCGUCGAAUGUGAAAUCUCAGGGCUCAACUCUGACAUUGCAUUCGAUACGGGCAGGCUAGAGUUCGGUAGGGGAGACUGGAAUUCCUGGUGUAGCGGUGAAAUGCGCAGAUAUCAGGAGGAACACCGGUGGCGAAGGCGGGUCUCUGGGCCGAUACUGACGCUGAGGAGCGAAAGCGUGGGGAGCGAACAGG